AAUAUUGCACAAUGGGCGCAAGCCUGAUGCAGCAACGCCGCGUGGAGGAAGACGGUUUUCGGAUUGUAAACUCCUGUUCUUAGUGAAGAAGAAUGACGGUAGCUAAGGAGCAAGCCACGGCUAACUACGUGCCAGCAGCCGCGGUAAUACGUAGGUGGCAAGCGUUGUCCGGAAUUACUGGGUGUAAAGGGAGCGCAGGCGGGAGACCAAGUCAGCUGUGAAAACUACGGGCUUAACCUGUAGACUGCAGUUGAAACUGGUUUUCUUGAGUGAAGUAGAGGUUGGCGGAAUUCCGAGUGUAGCGGUGAAAUGCGUAGAUAUUCGGAGGAACACCGGUGGCGAAGGCGGCCAACUGGGCUUUAACUGACGCUGAGGCUCGAAAGUGUGGGGAGCGAA
This 396-nucleotide ribosomal RNA is filed under the name uncultured bacterium. Its description in RNAcentral is "bacterial SSU rRNA". It matches the Rfam family "Bacterial small subunit ribosomal RNA", at positions 360 to 772 of the family's 1533-position model. The record is from RNAcentral.